This is a long non-coding RNA of Anas platyrhynchos (mallard), 833 nucleotides long. RefSeq lists it as uncharacterized. NCBI's taxonomy places the organism in Eukaryota, Metazoa, Chordata, Aves, Anseriformes, Anatidae. The record is from RefSeq and is a predicted model, not a curated record.
CCGGCGGGCACCGACGCCUCCGUCCCUCGCCCGCCCGCAGCAGCCGGCUGAGCCUGUGCCCGGGGAGGAUCCCUUCGAUCCGCAGCAAACGUUUUCCCUCCGAGCCCUCCCCUCCCCCUCCACGGAGGACCGUGACCUCCGGAAACGCGCUAGCUCAAUAAAAUCCGCCGAGGAAACUAAAAAUAAAGGCAAGGCAAGCGGCAAGUUUGAGGAGCGGGGCGCGCCGUACCUUGAUGGUGGUCUCGGGGAGGUUGAGGGCGGCAGCCAGCUCGCAGCGCCGCGGCCGCGACACGUAGUUCUCCCGCCUCCAGCUCUGUCUCGGCAGAAGAGAGAGCGCCGUUUGCAGAGGCGAGCAACUUUGGCGGUGUCGCUGGGAGGAAGUCAGGCUGGCCGGGGAGCGGAGUGCGGAGCAGCCCACCUCCACAUCACUGUUCAUAUCUGCCUCUUGAGCAACUUCCGAAUAAAGGCUGAUUUUCUUCCUGCUUUCCGACGGCGGGAUUUCGGACGAGACGGCGCUUUCGCUGCUCGGGUGCUGAAGAUUGAAUAAAGUGUCUAUUUCGAAUUUGCCUUUGGCGGAGAUGUCCCCUAUCGCGCUGUGCAGGGAGGCGGAAGUUAGUCUCGGGCUGAGGCGACCACUGUGCUGAGAAUUUUCAAGGGCCUCCAGCACCGCAUUUCCAGCUGAGUCUGACAAAUUCGAGAGCCUUUUGCCAGCUGUAGGGCUGUGCAGCCCUCUCUCCAUCAGGAUCAUCUCUUUUCUUAUUCUUUCCAUCAUCUCAGCUUUAUAAAAAAUGUCAAAGUUGCAGGGCUGGUCCUGUACUAAUGAUGAGCUGCAG